UGAACGCUGGCGGUCUGCUUAACACAUGCAAGUCGAACGCAACCUUCGGGUUGAGUGGCGGACGGGUGAGUAACGCGUGAGAAUCUGCCUUGGGGUCGGGGACAACCACUGGAAACGGUGGCUAAUACCGGAUAAGCCUUUGGGUAAAAAAUUUAUUGCCCCAAGAGGAGCUCGCGUCUGAUUAGCUAGUUGGUGAGGUAAGAGCUCACCAAGGCAGCGAUCAGUAGCUGGUCUGAGAGGACGAUCAGCCACACUGGGACUGAGACACGGCCCAGACUCCUACGGGAGGCAGCAGUGGGGAAUUUUCCGCAAUGGGCGAAAGCCUGACGGAGCAAGACCGCGUGAGGGAGGAAGGCUCUUGGGUUGUAAACCUCUUUUCUCAGGGAAGAAGCUCUGACGGUACCUGAGGAAUCAGCCUCGGCUAACUCCGUGCCAGCAGCCGCGGUAAUACGGAGGAGGCAAGCGUUAUCCGGAAUUAUUGGGCGUAAAGCGUCCGCAGGUGGCGAUUCAAGUCUGCUGUCAAAGCACGGGGCUUAACCCCGUUAAGGCAGUGGAAACUGAAUAGCUAGAGUGCCGUAGGGGUAGAGGGAAUUCCCGGUGUAGCGGUGAAAUGCGUAGAGAUCGGGAAGAACAUCGGUGGCGAAAGCGCUCUACUGGACGGCAACUGACACUCAGGGACGAAAGCUAGGGGAGCGAAUGGGAUUAGAUACCCCAGUA
This 717-nucleotide ribosomal RNA is filed under the name uncultured organism. Its description in RNAcentral is "bacterial SSU rRNA". It matches the Rfam family "Bacterial small subunit ribosomal RNA", at positions 30 to 792 of the family's 1533-position model. The record is from RNAcentral.